CCCCCAGAAGUCCAGUGGUUAAGACGCCACCCUUCCACUGUUGGAGGCCCAGGUUUAAUCCCUGGUAGGGGAA
Molecule: transfer RNA, 73 nt
Filed under: Capra hircus (goat)
Lineage: Eukaryota; Metazoa; Chordata; Mammalia; Artiodactyla; Bovidae
Also listed under: 1 other name
Rfam family: tRNA
About the family: Transfer RNA (tRNA) molecules are approximately 80 nucleotides in length. Their secondary structure includes four short double-helical elements and three loops (D, anti-codon, and T loops).
Source: Rfam by way of RNAcentral